UAACUGGCUUAUACUGGGAGGGACUGGGACGGACUGGGGUGAACUGGGAGGGGUUUGGGAGUUACUGGUUUAUACUGGGAUACACUGGGAUGGAAGUGGGAUCGAACUGGUUCGUACUGGGAUGCACUGAGAUGGGUUUUGGGGUUACUGGUUUAUACUGGGAGGCACUGGGGUGAACUGGGAUCAAACUGGGAGGGACUGGGAGGGAACUGGAAGGGGUUUGGGAGUUACUGGUUUAUACUGGGAUGGACUGGGGGGGGUUUCGGGGGUUACUGGUUUGUACUGGGAGGGACUGGAAGGGAACUGGGAAGAGGUUUGGCCUUACUGGGAUGCACUGGUUUAUACUGGGAGAGGAUUUGGGCUUCACUGGUUUGUACUGGUUUGUACUGGUUUGUACUGGGAGGCUCUGACUCUGCCCCUCCCCCCUCCCAGCGCGAGUGGGGGCGGAGCUUCUCCAGGGAGGACCAAUCGCAGCUGAGCUCCCAGUUCCUGCCCAACCAGGAGGCGGCGCUGGAGCCCCACCCCCAGAAGGUUUUCUGCGGGAUUUUCUCCGAGUGCGGCCGCAGGUUCCUGACGGCGUGUCAGGGUGAGCGACACGGAGCGGACCGGACCGGACCCGGACCAGCCCCCGACCCGGACCAGCCCCCGCCGUCCGCAACGGCAACACCCCAUAAUAACACCUCGAAAUAGCAUCCCGAAAUACCCCAAAAACAUACCAAAAUAUCCGGAAAUAUCCCAAAAUAUCCCCAAAAUAACAUCCCCCCCCCCCCCCCCCCCCCCCCCCCCCCCCCCCCCCCCCCCCCCCCCCCCCCCCCCCCCCCCCCCCCCCCCCCCCCCCCCCCCCCCCCCCC
Molecule: long non-coding RNA, 851 nt
Filed under: Ficedula albicollis (Collared flycatcher)
Lineage: Eukaryota; Metazoa; Chordata; Aves; Passeriformes; Muscicapidae
Description: lncRNA (ENSFALG00000020881.2)
Source: RNAcentral